Molecule: unclassified non-coding RNA, 649 nt
Filed under: Hevea brasiliensis (rubber tree)
Lineage: Eukaryota; Viridiplantae; Streptophyta; Magnoliopsida; Malpighiales; Euphorbiaceae
Source: RNAcentral
UUUUUCUCCACUCUAAACGAUUUUCAUCUUAUUACAGCUUAGGAAAAAAAUAAUUUGUCCAUUGUCCUCAUUUUUUUACAAAGAAAGCAUCUUUUAACCAAGCAUCAAUGCUAUGUUCUGCAUCUCAUGCUAGGCAUUUCAAUAGUACAGCUCUCUUCCUAGUGGCACAAAUUCUUGCUAAUCCAGAUAUUUGCUUGAUAUGAUCCAUCUCUUCUGAUGACAUCAUCUGUCGGAAAAAAUUCUUUACAAAAAAAUGUCAAAUUCCUAUGAUCAUAAGCCACCCUCUUUUGAUAUUUAUCCUUAGGGAACAGGGCUAUAGACCUAUUCUUUCUCAUGCAACAGGGCUGUGGACCUUUGCCCAAUUGCCUUGGUGGGAAAUAGCAAAAUAACAGCAAGAAAAGGCAGGACAGAAAGAGAGAGGGUAUUGAAACUCAGUCAAGCCUGCACAGCAAAUCUGGAAAAAGGUCCAUUUAGAUUGCUAUGAUAUAAGCUUUUCCUAUGAAAACCCAGCAGAAACUAAAGCAAGUGGACCUGACAAUUCUGGCUACAACAUGGCAGAAUCUUGAUAUCUUGUAAAUUUCUAGUGGAUUCACAAUGAGAUUCCACCUAAAAUUUUGCACACAUGCACGAGAGAGAGAGAGAGAGAGAG